RNAcentral lists this ribosomal RNA (401 nucleotides) under uncultured bacterium. RNAcentral's name for it is "bacterial SSU rRNA". It matches the Rfam family "Bacterial small subunit ribosomal RNA", at positions 359 to 776 of the family's 1533-position model. The record is from RNAcentral.
GAAUCUUGGACAAUGGGGGCAACCCUGAUCCAGCGACGCCGCGUGGGUGAUGAAGGCCUUCGGGUUGUAAAGCCCUUUCAACGGGGACGAUGAUGACGGUACCCGGAGAAGAAGCACCGGCUAACUCCGUGCCAGACGCCGCGGUCAGACGGAGGGUGCUAGCGUUGUUCGCAAUCACUGGGCGUAAAGGGCCCGUAGGCGGCCUGGGAAGUCGGCUUGUGAAAGCCCGGGGCUCCACCCCGGAGGUGCGGCCGAUACUCCUAGGCUCGAGGCCGGAAGAGGAGGGUGGAAUACCCAGUGUAGAGGUGAAAUUCGUAGAUAUUGGGUGGAACACCGGUGGCGAAAGCGGCUCUCUGGUCCGGUCCUGACGCUGAGGCGCGAAAGCGUGGGGAGCAAACAGG